RNAcentral lists this non-coding RNA (67 nucleotides) under unclassified sequences. RNAcentral's name for it is "DUF3800-IX RNA". It matches the Rfam family "DUF3800-IX RNA". From Rfam's summary of the family: Actinobacteria, Firmicutes (1 example), Nitrospirae, Proteobacteria, Verrucomicrobia (1 example). The record is from Rfam by way of RNAcentral.
GCCGUUGUUCUGAACUGUCGCAAUCCAAUGCGUGCGUUCCCUUUAAAGGAUAGGAACAACGGUUUUU